Molecule: ribosomal RNA, 500 nt
Filed under: uncultured bacterium
Lineage: Bacteria
Description: bacterial SSU rRNA
Rfam family: Bacterial small subunit ribosomal RNA
Source: RNAcentral
AGAGUUUGAUCAUGGCUCAGAACGAACACUGGCGGCGUGGUUUAGGCAUGCAAGUCGAACGUGAAAGUUCCUUCGGGAAUGAGUAAAGUGGCGAACGGGUGAGUAACGCGUGGGAAACCUUCCCUUCGUUGGGGGAUAACAGUUCUAACGAGCUGCUAAUACCGCAUACGACCUUUGGAUCGCAUGGUCUGAAGGUGAAAGGGGGCGAUCUCUUCGGAGAGCUCCCGACGAUGGAUGGUCCCGCGUCCCAUUAGCUAGUUGGCGGGGUAAUGGCCCACCAAGGCGACGAUGGGUAGCCGGCCUGAGAGGGUGUCCGGCCACACUGGGACUGAGAUACGGCCCAGACUCCUACGGGAGGCAGCAGUCGAGAAGCUUCGGCAAUGGGCGAAAGCCUGACCGAGCGACGCCGCGUGAGCGAAGAAGGCCCUAUGGGUUGUAAAGCUCUGUCAGAUUGGGAAGAAAACCUCGCGGUUAAUACCCGCGAGGCCUGACGGUACCAU